UACAGAGGUGGCAAGCGUUGUUCGGAAUUACUGGGCGUAAAGGGCGCGUAGGCGGCCUUCUAAGUCAGACGUGAAAUCCCCCGGCUUAACCUGGGAACUGCGUCUGAUACUGGGAGGCUUGAGUAUGGGAGAGGGAUGUAGAAUUCCAGGUGUAGCGGUGAAAUGCGUAGAUAUCUGGAGGAAUACCGGUGGCGAAGGCGGCAUCCUGGACCAUUACUGACGCUCAGGCACGAAAGCGUGGGGAGCAAACAGG
RNAcentral lists this ribosomal RNA (253 nucleotides) under uncultured bacterium. RNAcentral's name for it is "partial 16S ribosomal RNA". It matches the Rfam family "Bacterial small subunit ribosomal RNA", at positions 524 to 776 of the family's 1533-position model. The record is from RNAcentral.